RNAcentral lists this long non-coding RNA (566 nucleotides) under Homo sapiens (human). RNAcentral describes it as "HSALNT0237874". Lineage: Eukaryota; Metazoa; Chordata; Mammalia; Primates; Hominidae. The record is from RNAcentral.
AACUGAGACUCGUAACUGCACCCCAGCUCGACUUCCUCCCGACUCCGAGAGGCGGCGAGUCCACCCACUGGCGCGGUGCAAGAGCUACCCCUCCCUGAACUACGACUUCCUCAGGUUUCAGAGCGGACAGCUCCACGGCCCAGAAAGAGACGCAGGGAGGAGCCCAGCUUCCGCCUCGAAAGGGACUCUGGGACACUGGGCGGGCCCAGGAACGCAGUGUUCUUGGGAAAUGUGGUCCACAGCCUCCGCUGCGCAGGCGCCGUGGCCCUGCUCCACACGCGCACGGCUGAAGACCCCUAUCUCCGAGAGCGCGCACGCACCCUUCCGGGGUACGAGAAGGCGUGGCGGAUGCUGAGGCAGGCCCUACCGGUCUCGGUGGCGGUGUUGUGGUGAAGGCGGCCGGGUUUAUUUAAGGCUGACUACGAAUUUAAGUGGGAGAGACAUGCAGUUUGUAAGAUCUUCCCACCCCAAGGGGGAGAUCGGCAGCGGAAUGUGUCGCGCGCUGCCUUGGGUGCGCACCCACACACUGGCAAUAAUAAAUGCUUGCUUUAUUCCUUUAUUUAACA